GACGAACGCUGGCGGCAUGCCUAACACAUGCAAGUCGAACGAAGGGGCUCGGCUCAUAGUGGCGCACGGGUGCGUAACGCGGGGGAAUCUGCCCUUGGGAUCGGACCAACAGUUUGGAACGACUGCUAAUACCGGAGGAUGUCGAUAGGACCAAAGAUUUAUCGCCCGGGGAUGAGGGCGCGUCGGCUGAGUUUGUGGGUGGGGUAAAGGCAUACCAAGGCGACGAUCCGUAGCUGGUCUGGGAGGAUGAUCAGCCACACUGGGCCUGAGACACGGCCCAGAAUGCUAGGGAACGCAGGAGUGGGGAGUAUUGGACAAGGGAGGCAAACCUGAUCCCGCAAUGCGGGGUAAGUGAUGAAGGCGUUAGGGUUGUAAAGCCCUUUUACACGGGAAGAUAAUGACUGUACCGGGAGAAGAAGCCCCGGCUAACUCCGUG
RNAcentral lists this ribosomal RNA (436 nucleotides) under uncultured bacterium. RNAcentral's name for it is "partial 16S ribosomal RNA". It matches the Rfam family "Bacterial small subunit ribosomal RNA", at positions 28 to 507 of the family's 1533-position model. The record is from RNAcentral.